CCUUUUAAUGUUCAAGUUAAAUGGUUUCCACAUGCAUACAAACAAGUCUAUUCAUCAUAUUAAUAACAUCAUAAAAUAAUAUAAUCAGUUUACAUCAUAUGUAAAAGAUCACAUUUUGCAUAGAUAUUUGAUAUCACAAAGAACUUGGACGAGCUCUGAUACCACUGAUAGUAUGCAUGCAGAGGGCUAAGCAUGAAUUUCAGAAAAUUUUAUGCGGAAAGAAUGGGUUAAACAUUUUAACCUAAAACAUGCUUGAUAUUUUAGAUAUUUUUGACUCUGGUACCAGUCGAAUACAAUCUUCAACUGCACAUCACAUGUGGCGCAGGCUCAGUCCCAAUACAUAGGGUGACACCCGCGCGUGCCUAUCAAAGUACUCAUCAUAUGAGCCCCCGGGUGGAGCGCCACGCUUCGUCACACGAUCACGCGUGAGAGUUUCCGGGAAUCGGAUAGUCUCCACUAACCCUUUGCUUUGACAUCAAAUAUCACAAAGCCCUCAGAUCCCGAGGAU
RNAcentral lists this long non-coding RNA (508 nucleotides) under Phoenix dactylifera (date palm). RNAcentral describes it as "long non-coding RNA (PDAC_LNC020822)". Lineage: Eukaryota; Viridiplantae; Streptophyta; Magnoliopsida; Arecales; Arecaceae. The record is from RNAcentral.